This is a long non-coding RNA of Lolium perenne, 2263 nucleotides long. RefSeq lists it as uncharacterized. NCBI's taxonomy places the organism in Eukaryota, Viridiplantae, Streptophyta, Magnoliopsida, Poales, Poaceae. The record is from RefSeq and is a predicted model, not a curated record.
GAACCAAUCUGGUAUGCAGAAGCAAUUACUUCUAUAAAUGUUCCUAGACUACCCGGCUCCAGGAGGCUUCAAAAGGGGCAAAUCCAUCGUGUGCGUUGAAACUGGCAGCGACAGUAAUUUUCGACGCCCGCUUUGGACGUCAGCCGUUGGAUGGUGUCAAUGUUUUUGUUACCUGCCGUUUCUGUAGAUAGGUCGCUGACAACUAGGAUCAGGCGCGUGCGGGGCCGGGCGAACAUAGGCAGCGAUGAGUGACCCUGCUCGUUUCACCCAAACCACUCCCCCAAUCAGUGGCGUCCUCUCGUCCCCAAUCCGCCGCCCUCCUCUCCUCACCCAAUCUCCACCUCGUGUCCCCUCUCCUCUCCUCUAGAUCCCGACCCGAACCCAACCCAGGCCAGGAGCGCGGUGGCGGCGGCGACUACCCCGACCCAAAGCGCGGCAGCGGCGGCCACGUGCGGCCGCUUGUCGUCAGCGGCGGCGACUAGGGUUGCUGGCCUCAAAACCCUAGCCGCUGCCUUUGCCUCGUCGUCCCUGUUCUCCUCGAGGAGGAGCUGGUCUGGAGGCGCUCAAGGAGCUCGAGCUCCGCCGUGCGUCCCCGGCUCCAUGGAGACCAGCAGAAGCGGCGCUCGACUGCAGCUCUGCCCCGACCCCGAUCCAGGGCAGCCCGGGAAGCCCCACGGCCUCCUCUACUGGAGUAGGCCGACGCCCAUGAGCAGCGUGGGUUAGGGACCUCGACGUUGGCCUCUACAUCGAGCAGGCGACCUCGACAUCUAGCAGCGAGCACCAGUUCCGAUCAGUCAGGACUAGAUGCGAUGCAUCUGCCGUCUCUGUUGCCCAGCCGGGUGCCAAAUGGCUCCACGGGGCAGCAUUUUGUGAGGUGACGUUGAUGCUUGCCCUUCUCUUGGAGAAUACUUGAUAAUUUCCUAAUCCCCUAAACAUGCCUUGGCAUUGGAUGGAUCAAGGAGCAGGUUACAGUUUAUGUUUUUGGUCAAAGUUUCCUCUAUUUUUCUGCUCUUAGCCUCUAUUACAGUCUGUUCUAUCUUGCUACACAUUGGAUCCUGCUGCAGUUGUAUUUACUAUUUACUAUUAUAUAAAAAUCAGCCAUGUGCAAGCAACGGAGCUUAAUUUGUACAGUUGGCCAUAUCGACUACUGAGAAGGCUCAGUUGGUGUUGGAUGUGAUGUCUUGGUGGGAUAUGUUUUUCUAUUGGAUGCCUACAGUAACUACAGGAUGCAAGAAGAACUUUGCAGGCAGUCCGGGGACUCUAUCACGAGUUGCUCAAUGUAACCUUCGCAAUGGGCGGUGGCUGCAGCACGGUGAAACAAUUCUGGUCCACUCUCUCGAGUGGCUCGACGUGCCCUUCGCAAUCAGUGGAAGCUGCUGCAUGCCAAAAAGAAGACAAGGUCAAGUGGAACUGACUCUGGCGAGGAGUAUAUGUGAAAGAUAGACUUGACUUUACAUUAGGCCAUUGAUCAAAUAACAUCUUCGUUUGGGAGGGGAGCAAUAAUGUGGCUUGGCUGCUCUGAAAGUCACAGAGAAGUACCUGUUGUGUCUACUGGGUCUUUCUCUCUGGAUCUUGCACUAGGGAUCAGUAGGCUUCCAAAGGAAGUUAGAUGUGUUAGCUAUCACCACCAGUACAAUUGGCAUGGUGGCUGCAGAAUCAAGGGCCAUAAGGGAGCCUCGUGUUGUUCAGAAGACAACCAAGGUUGGCAUCUUUUUAAUUCUUAUCGUUGGUGCAAGUAAGGUCAGAAGGAUGCUAAAGGAAAUCCAAAUCCAAGUAGGCAAGCAUGUGGAAAGGGCGUCAUAUGAUGUGAACUCUGUUAUCAUGACAAAGAGGGAAGGGCACAACCAUGAAGUUCGAGCAGCCAGAAAUAGCGGGCAUGUGAGCGAUGGUUCUGGGAGUGCUCUCAGAGGCCAACUGGAGUCAUUCAACUUCCUCUUCAGGAAUGGCAGACUACGAUCUGCCUUGCCACCUGCAAAUGCAGCAUGGCUAGCUAACCGAUUGAUGAUUUGGUAUAUUACGAGUUAGGCCCAGUUUAUCACUUUCUUCCAGUUUAUGGCCUCUUUGUGAUGCCUUUUUCCUUUGCCUGCUAUAAUUUAUGUGUUAAUACUCUACUGGUUCAUUAUACUCCAAUCUAGAGGUUUUCCAAUACUGCGAUGGAGUUCAUUUUCAGAAUCUUGUUAUGUUAAGGAAAAACAAUGUAGUUUACACAGUUCAGAAAUUCUCAAUUUGCAUAAAAUAUAUUAUGUGUUACUUGCGAAACUAA